UGGGGAAUAUUGGACAAUGGGCGAAAGCCUGAUCCAGCAAUGCCGCGUGAGUGAUGAAGGCCUUAGGGUUGUAAAGCUCUUUUACCAGGGAUGCAGUACCUGGAGAAUAAGCUCCGGCUAACUCCGUGCCAGCAGCCGCGGUAAUACGGAGGGAGCUAGCGUUGUUCGGAAUUACUGGGCGUAAAGCGCACGUAGGCGGCUUUUUAAGUCAGAGGUGAAAUCCCGGGGCUCAACCCCGGAACUGCCUUUGAAACUGGGAAGCUAGAAUCUUGGAGAGGCGAGUGGAAUUCCGAGUGUAGAGGUGAAAUUCGUAGAUAUUCGGAAGAACACCAGUGGCGAAGGCGACUCGCUGGACAAGUAUUGACGCUGAGGUGCGAAAGCGUGGGGAGCAAACAGGAUUAGAUACCCCAGUAGU
RNAcentral lists this ribosomal RNA (415 nucleotides) under uncultured bacterium. RNAcentral describes it as "bacterial SSU rRNA". It matches the Rfam family "Bacterial small subunit ribosomal RNA", at positions 355 to 794 of the family's 1533-position model. The record is from RNAcentral.